GGAUUUUCUUAGUAGCGGCGAGCGAAAAGAAAAUAGUUCAGCACUAAGUCACUUUGUCUUAAUGGCAAAUGUGAGAUGCAGUGUAUGGAACAUCUAUAAUCUAGUAUGAUAAAUUGAUGAUUUAAGUCCUUCUUAAAUGAGGCCAUUUACCCAAAGAGGGUGCCAGGCCCGUAUAACGUUAAUGAUUGCUAGAAGAUGUUUCCAAAGAGUCGUGUUGCUUGAUAGUGCAGCACUAAGUGGGUGGUAAACUCCAUCUAAAACUAAAUAUUACCAUGAGACCGAUAGUAAACAAGUACCGUGAGGGAAAGUUGAAAAGAACUCUGAAUAGAGAGUUAAAUAGUACGUGAAACUGCUUAGAGGUUAAGCCCGAUGAACCUGAAUAUCCAUUAUAGAAAAUACAGCAUUAUGAUAAUGAUAUGAAUAAUAUUAUUUAUAUAAUGUGCAUUUUUUCUAUAUAAGGACAUUGUAAUCUAUUAACAUAUAUAUAUUUAUCAGAAGAUCAUUAGAUAAAGUUUAUUCUAAUUAAUUUGCUUCGGCAAAUUAACACAAAAUAAGUGCUAUUGAUUUGAUAAAGUGUUGAUAGAUUUUUUAUAUGGUGCUUAAAUUCAAUUAAUGAAUUUUGUAAUGGCAUAAAUUUCUAUUUGAUUUUUAUGUUUAAUUACAUGCACCAAUAUGAUUAACAAUGCGAUAGAUUCAGGAUACCUUCGGGACCCGUCUUGAAACACGGACCAAGGAGUCUAACAUAUGUGCAAGUCAUUGGGAUUAAUAUAAUUAAACCUAAAGGCAUAAUUAACUUAAAUGUAUAAUAAUGGGAUUAGUUUUUAAUCUAAUUUUUAAUUAGGUUAUUAAUUCAAUCCCGGGGCGUUCUAUAUAGUUAUGUAUAAUAAUAUUUUAUAUUAUUUAUACCUCUAACUGGAGCGUACCUUCAGCAUAUAUGCUGUGACCCGAAAGAUGGUGAACUAUACUUGAUCAGGUUGAAGUCAGGGGAAACCCUGAUGGAAGACCGAAACAGUUCUGACGUGCAAAUCGAUUGUCAGA
Molecule: ribosomal RNA, 1038 nt
Filed under: Zodion fulvifrons
Lineage: Eukaryota; Metazoa; Arthropoda; Insecta; Diptera; Conopidae
Description: eukaryotic LSU rRNA
Rfam family: Eukaryotic large subunit ribosomal RNA
Source: RNAcentral